UGUACACGCUGUGACUAGCAUAUCAAUAAGCGGAGGAAAAGAAACUAACAAGGAUUCCCUUAGUAACGGCGAGUGAAGCGGGAAGAGCUCAAAUUUGAAAUCUUCAAGGGUUUACCUUUACGAAUUGUAGUUUAAAGAAGUGUUUUCUGUUGAGGUUUUGGUAUAAGUUCUUUGGAAUAGGUACAUCACUAGAGGGUGAGAAUCCCGUCUAUGACUUGCGAUUUGUAACUUUGUGAUACACUUUCAAAGAGUCGGAUUGUUUGGGAAUGCAGUCCAAAACGGGAGGUAAAUUUCAUUCUAAGGCUAAAUAUUGGCGAGAGACCGAUAGCGAACAAGUACCGUGAGGGAAAGAUGAAAAGAACUUUGAAAAGAGAGUUAAACAGUACGUGAAAUUGUCAAAAGGGAAGCGUUUGACACCAGUGUUGUUUUUCUGAAAAUCAAUUAAAGAACUGUUUAUGCUAAGUUGUUUAGACUUUAUCAGCUAACUGUUUAGUUUUGAGCUUUUCUUUAAUGCACUUUUCAGUUAACAAGUCAACAUCAAUUUCUUUUGCUGUAAAAAAGCUUGAGGAAGGUGGCUUGAGAUUCGUCUUAAGUGUUUAUAGCCUCUUGCCUAUGCAGUCGGAGAGAUUGAGGUCUGCAGCGUAGAUCCUUCGGGGCUAAAUGCAUUUGUGCUAAGUUAUAACUUUUUAUAGACAACUUGUUGACUAUAGUUAGUCAUUGUAGCUUACUCGCUUAUGCUAUUUUACCUACGCUUAGGAUGUUGACGCAUGAGAUAUACGC
This 780-nucleotide ribosomal RNA is filed under the name uncultured Neocallimastigales. Its description in RNAcentral is "partial large subunit ribosomal RNA". It matches the Rfam family "Eukaryotic large subunit ribosomal RNA", at positions 22 to 646 of the family's 3401-position model. The record is from RNAcentral. Lineage: Eukaryota; Fungi; Neocallimastigomycota; Neocallimastigomycetes; Neocallimastigales.